GCACUGUGUCGAUGCUGGCAGUUGUGCAAUGACUGCUGAAGGAGAUCACUCAUGGCCUCAGCUCCUGCAGGAUGUACCUGAUCCAAAAAAACAAGCCCAGGAAGAGCAGGAAGCGCACCAGGAGUAUCCUCAGAUGGGUCCCAGCCACACCUAAAGGAAACAAAACCUAAAAAAAUAUAUAAAAAUAAAAAAAUCCCAGCCCUGGAAGAUGCAGCCUGACCGUGCCCGGGCUGGCCCCGAUGCGCGGGGCAAUGGUGCCCUCUAAUGUCGGCCGGGCCCGGUGGAGCCGCCCGCUGCCCCCUGGAGGUGUCAGGUGCCCGGGUGGGCUCUGUCAGGGGGCGCGGGUCUUAAAUCCGUCCGGGGCCUGCGGAACUGCCAGGGUACCAAACGCAUGGCAGCCAAAUUCACCCGCAUCUAGGUUUCACAGGUUAUUCCAAGCCUGUUUGACUCCUUGGCAAGACCUCUGGAUGGGAGAAUGCCUUCAGCUCAAGCUGUGAAAAUGAGGUUAAGGUGAACAUCAUCCCACUCCCCAGGCUGGGUUCCCUCUUGUUUGCCGCUCCCUCUGAUCCCUGCGAUGGGCUGUGAGAUAGCCUGCGAUGAUGCAGUGAGCUUUAUGUUUGUGUUCAGCGUAGUAACUUUCUGAAGACACACUGCUGAACCUUCCCCUAAUCUCGAGAAGUGAUCAUUUUGUAAUAUGCCUCGUGGACUCCUGGCAUUAACGUGGCUGCAGGCUCUGAACAAGGACCAAGCACAACACAGCCGGUGGUGAACCUGCAAGGGAACGAGUUGGUGGGCUCCCGGGGGGGGUCCAUCAUGUUCUUCCUGUAGCCAAUCUAACUGUAUGGAGGCCGCCCUGCCCAUGGUACAGCUUUUGCUUUCAGGAGUAGGUUGGUGGCUGCUCUCCAGAUUUGCCCGGCAACCCUUCUCUUUAGGAGCAGCUGACUGAAACUCGAGGGCUCUCCAUUCUCCCCGGAGAGAUUUGGGGGCAGAGGUGGGCCAUGGCAGCACCUGGGAGAAGACUGUCCCAGCAAGGUCCUGCUGGUAAGACUGGAUUGGUGCAAAGAGCUGAGAGUUUUCAUCCUAUUUGGUCAUGUUAUUCUUGGUGUGACUCUCCUGAAUUCAGGCUGCGGUAUUUUUUCCAAAACCCUUCUACAAUUGACACAGUCUCUACCCCAUGCACAUGUUUGGAUGUCAGAUUCCAGCAUUCAGAAAUGUUCUCUUCUGGUUUAAUUUAUCCAGAGUAUGAGAGAGGCAGUUUCUACUGCCCUGUGGUUAAGCAGCAGGACUGGCGUCCAAAGGAUGAUCGAAUCUGAUUCCAGCCUCUUCCACAGACUUCCUCUGUGAUUUCAGACCAGCCAUCACACCCUGCUGGCUGUUAGCGUCCCAUCCAUAAGGCAAGGAGAACCCAAUUCUUUUCCUUCAUCCAAGUCUGGAGCUCUUUUUUGUGUUUGCAGGGCACCAGACAGGGCCUUGGUAUUAGAUGGAGCUUUGGGGCUUUACUAUUAAAAGGUUAGUAAUAACCAGCCCUAUUUCAGAUAAAAUGUGAUUUGCAGUUUAAUAUGCUAAGUAACAAAGACUUUACCAAAAGAAUGAACAAUGGGCUUUUUCCAUUUCACAAAAUAAUUUGCCAGGCAGAAUAAGCACACCAGCAUUUUUAUAAAAACAAAUUAUAAAUAAUUGCUUUUUGCAAUUUAAUACACACAUAGAAAGAGCCAAAAGAGUUCUGCAGCCACUGGGAAUCUAAUUUCAUUGCCGAUUUGGACUGUCUCCUUAGUUUUUAUGAAAAUCCCUGAAGACUGUGCUAUUUAGCUAUUUUGUAAACUAAACAUGG
Molecule: long non-coding RNA, 1831 nt
Organism: Oxyura jamaicensis (ruddy duck)
Lineage: Eukaryota; Metazoa; Chordata; Aves; Anseriformes; Anatidae
Exons: 3
Source: RefSeq, a predicted model, not a curated record